Molecule: ribosomal RNA, 496 nt
Filed under: uncultured bacterium
Lineage: Bacteria
Description: partial 16S ribosomal RNA
Rfam family: Bacterial small subunit ribosomal RNA
Source: RNAcentral
AUUGAACGCUGGCGGAAUGCUUUACACAUGCAAGUCGAACGGUAGAGGGGGCAACCCCUCGAGAGUGGCGAACGGGUGAGUAAUAUAUCGGAACGUGCCCAGUCGUGGGGGAUCACGUAGCGAAAGUUACGCUAAUACCGCAUACGAUCUAAGGAUGCAAGCGGGGGAUCGCAAGACCUCGCGCGAUUGGAGCGGCCGAUAUCAGAUUAGGUAGUUGGUGGGGUAAAGGCGCGCCAAGCCAACGAUCUGUAGCUGGUCUGAGAGGACGACCAGCCACACUGGAACUGAAACACGGUCCAGACUCCAACGGGAGGCAGCAGUGGGGAAUUUUGGACAAUGGACGCAAGUCUGAUCCAGCCAUUCCGCGUGCAGGAUGAAGGCCCUCGGGUUGUAAACUGCUUUUGUACGGAACGAAAAGGUCUCUCUUAAUACGGGGGGCUCAUGACGGUACCGUAAGAAUAAGCACCGGCUAACUACGUGCCAGCCGCCGCAGUAA